This 234-nucleotide long non-coding RNA is filed under the name Phaseolus vulgaris (common bean). RNAcentral describes it as "long non-coding RNA (PVUL_LNC002080)". The record is from RNAcentral. Lineage: Eukaryota; Viridiplantae; Streptophyta; Magnoliopsida; Fabales; Fabaceae.
AUUCUCCCACAAGCACAGAGUGCGAAGGUAGAAUUAGGGUUCAUCAAAGAAUUUGGGGACAUUUUCUGUGCUGACCCUGCUCCAACCAAUCACCGUUCAACCAAGGACAUUCUUCCACAAGGAUUGUUCCCCGUCAACCACAUUUUAUCCUCUUCCAAUCUAUUAUCUCUACACUAGGACGAGGUAAUUUAUACAUCCAUGUGUGCAUGAACAUAAGUAUGUUGUUGUCCUAAA